Non-coding RNA from Heligmosomoides polygyrus, 75 nucleotides. Lineage: Eukaryota; Metazoa; Nematoda; Chromadorea; Rhabditida; Heligmosomidae. The record is from Rfam.
GCGCCGGUGGUGUAAAGGCGUAGAGCAUUCCCUUCCGAUCAGAGGGAGGUGCGGGUUCCAGUCCCGCUUGGCGCU